Molecule: long non-coding RNA, 613 nt
Organism: Ricinus communis (castor bean)
Lineage: Eukaryota; Viridiplantae; Streptophyta; Magnoliopsida; Malpighiales; Euphorbiaceae
Exons: 2
Source: RefSeq, a predicted model, not a curated record
CAUUUUUCUUGGUCUUAUCAACCUGUUGACAUGGAAAGAAUAUUAGAAGGGAAAAGAAUGUCAAUGAUGUUUUCUACCUCAGUUCAGUUUCAAACAAAAGAUAUUACAAGCAGAAAAAAGAACAAACUAGGUAGAAUCGCAACCAUUUAUUGGGAUCUAGAUACAUGCCCCAGAAAAGAGGGCUGGCAAAGGGCAUAGAGAAAAGCAGUGGAGGAUGAUAAGGGAGUUCAUGAGGCCCUGGAGGAAACCAGCAUUUUAAAUAAGCACAACAAAACCCCACUUAAUACUGACAGUGUUUAUGCGUUGCAUAUUGUGAAGUGCCAGUAUUUUCCAAACAGGAAAAUCGCCCAGUUGCAUUUAAGAACUCUUGUUGAUCAAUGAAUGUUCAAACCAAACAUAUUCAGAAUGUAUUAGCUAGGACCUACCUUGGGACCAGCAGCAGAGAUCUGGGUUUUCACAUGCUCAGCAAACAGAUGCUUUUCUCCAUUUUCUCUAUGAAGAUGGUUGGGAACUACAAAGGGAGCUUUUUCUGUCUGCUGUAACUUCACUACCAAAGUUUUAUUGUCAAGUGCUAAUGAUGUCAUCUGCAUAUAUUGCAAAACCAUCAGUCUAA